GCGCUCGUAGCUCAGCUGGAUAGAGCGCUGCCCUCCGAAGGCAGAGGUCAGAGGUUCGAAUCCUCUCGAGCGCGCCA
RNAcentral lists this transfer RNA (77 nucleotides) under Planctomycetota bacterium. RNAcentral describes it as "Planctomycetes bacterium (soil metagenome) tRNA-Arg". It matches the Rfam family "tRNA". From Rfam's summary of the family: Transfer RNA (tRNA) molecules are approximately 80 nucleotides in length. Their secondary structure includes four short double-helical elements and three loops (D, anti-codon, and T loops). Further hydrogen bonds mediate the characteristic L-shaped molecular structure. tRNAs have two regions of fundamental functional importance: the anti-codon, which is responsible for specific mRNA codon recognition, and the 3' end, to which the tRNAs corresponding amino acid is attached (by aminoacyl-tRNA synthetases). tRNAs cope with the degeneracy of the genetic code in two manners: having more than one tRNA (with a specific anti-codon) for a particular amino acid; and 'wobble' base-pairing, i.e. permitting non-standard base-pairing at the 3rd anti-codon position. Lineage: Bacteria; Pseudomonadati; Planctomycetota. The record is from RNAcentral.